UACGGAGGGUGCAAGCGUUGUUCGGAAUUAUUGGGCGUAAAGCGCGCGCAGGCGGUCUGAAAAGUCUAUGGGUGAAAUGCCGGGGCUCAACCCCGUGCAUGCCCAGGAUACUGUCAGACUGGAGACACGUAGAGGCAAGCGGAAUUCCGGGUGUAGCGGUGGAAUGCGUAGAGAUCCGGAAGAACACCGGUGGCGAAGGCGGCCUGCUGGGCAGUGGCUGACACUGAGGCGCGACAGCGUGGGGAGCAAACAGG
Molecule: ribosomal RNA, 254 nt
Filed under: uncultured bacterium
Lineage: Bacteria
Description: partial 16S ribosomal RNA
Rfam family: Bacterial small subunit ribosomal RNA
Source: RNAcentral